RNAcentral lists this ribosomal RNA (595 nucleotides) under Hanseniaspora uvarum. Its description in RNAcentral is "eukaryotic LSU rRNA". It matches the Rfam family "Eukaryotic large subunit ribosomal RNA", at positions 48 to 657 of the family's 3401-position model. The record is from RNAcentral. Lineage: Eukaryota; Fungi; Ascomycota; Saccharomycetes; Saccharomycodales; Saccharomycodaceae.
UAGCGGAGGAAAAGAAACCAACUGGGAUUACCUUAGUAACGGCGAGUGAAGCGGUAAAAGCUCAAAUUUGAAAUCUGGUACUUUCAGUGCCCGAGUUGUAAUUUGUAGAAUUUGUCUUUGAUUAGGUCCUUGUCUAUGUUCCUUGGAACAGGACGUCAUAGAGGGUGAGAAUCCCGUUUGGCGAGGAUACCUUUUCUCUGUAAGACUUUUUCGAAGAGUCGAGUUGUUUGGGAAUGCAGCUCAAAGUGGGUGGUAAAUUCCAUCUAAAGCUAAAUAUUGGCGAGAGACCGAUAGCGAACAAGUACAGUGAUGGAAAGAUGAAAAGAACUUUGAAAAGAGAGUGAAAAAGUACGUGAAAUUGUUGAAAGGGAAGGGCAUUUGAUCAGACAUGGUGUUUUUUGCAUGCACUCGCCUCUCGUGGGCUUGGGCCUCUCAAAAAUUUCACUGGGCCAACAUCAAUUCUGGCAGCAGGAUAAAUCAUUAAGAAUGUAGCUACUUCGGUAGUGUUAUAGCUUUUUGGAAUACUGUUAGCCGGGAUUGAGGACUGCGCUUCGGCAAGGAUGUUGGCAUAAUGGUUAAAUGCCGCCCGUCUUAA